Long non-coding RNA from Peromyscus californicus insignis, 15113 nucleotides. RefSeq lists it as uncharacterized. The record is from RefSeq and is a predicted model, not a curated record. Lineage: Eukaryota; Metazoa; Chordata; Mammalia; Rodentia; Cricetidae. The transcript is spliced from 2 exons.
CCCACCAGAGAAAGGUUAAAAUUGUAAAAAUGCAUCCUUGCAUCCUCAUUUGAAAGGAGAGAGCCUGUGGAUGCUGUUGAAGGGUUCCUCUGCUUGAAAACAACUGUCUAGGGGAGUCUUUUCUCAGGGUCAGUCACCAAGGUGCACAACUCUGGUAGAAGGGAGAUGGAUUUCUCCCAGGCUGAGGACAGAACUUCUCAGAGUGCACAAGUUCAUUAACAACCUCCUUGAUGUAUGCAGAGACGCUUUGUGCAUGGCUGUCACCAAGGGUGAGGCAGAAGCAAAUAUGGAUUGAUAGUAAGUGUAUAUAGUCCAAACUCAAGGAGGAUUUGUUAGGGAAGUUUAUGUCAUUCAGAGAUUUAAUUGCCUUUGGUCAGUUGAACUUUUCAGGUUGUUCAUAGUGAGCAGUUUCUUCUUUUCUUUUCUCUCUCUCUCUCUCUCUCUCUCUCCCUCCCUCUCUCUCCAUUUCCUUCCUUUUUAUUUUUCUCUUUGUUAAUUAAUGAAGUUAAAAAUUAAGACAUUAAUUUCAAAAGAAAUUCCAACAAAACUGGCUCAUCUCUUAAGAACCCCACCUCAGCCAACUGUUCAUCACAAUUUUAAAAUGCCUCCAGUUCUUAUUUCUCCCAGGUAAACAUAUUAAAAGACAUAUACUGGCUUACUUCCAGAGGCUCCAUUUCUUCCCCUCUUUGACUGAGUGUGUGUGGCCUCUUUCCAGUUCUCUGCUCCAUCUUUGGAUUUUCUCUAGACAAGGUUCUUCUCAUCAGUGCCUCCAUCUCGACGCAUUGCUUCUUUUCAUUGACUAUUUCCUGGUGCUGGGAUGACACACUCAUGCUUUCUGGCCCUCUCCUGGCCUAACCACCUGUUGUUGUGUUUGUUUGUUUGUUUUUUGAAUUUACUCACUCAUACAACUCUGUCUUUGGCUUAUACUCUGUUUGAUUUGGUUUGGGCUCUAACUCCAGGAAUGUACCUUCAUUGCAAGUUAACCCAUCAUGAUAAGAGCUUGCCAUCUGGAGUCAGGUGACUUUGAUUUCAGUUUCAGCUCCACCUUCCUCUUGCCUUGUGAGAUAAAAAUGAAGUCCGUUGUUCUCAACCGGAAGCAGUUUUAUCUCUCGGGUGACAUUUGGCCAUGUUUGGACUAUUUCUGGUUGUCAUAAUUGGGGGUUGUUAGUAGAAUCCAGUGACCAGAAGCCGGGGUGCUGCCAAACUACCAUGCUCUAGACAGCUCCUCACAAAGGAAAAAUUGUUUAGCCUCAAGUGUCAACAGCACUGAGGUGGAGGAGCCUAUGCUCAGGUGUGCAUUUGUUAUGGUCUGUUUUCUCAGCAAAUUCACCUUGCGACAUCCUACCUCUGUGAAUACAUGUCCUUCUUACACUUUAGGUCAUACGUGAAGUUGAUCACCAUGCCAUUUAAUCUUUACCAAAACUGUUAAAUCAGAUGGAGUGCAGACUGCCAGAAUCCUCUAUUAAGUCAUUGCCAGGAUAGUGUGGGUAGCCACCGAGCAGGGGCCACACCUGGAAUCGGCUGACGUUCAAAUGGUCUCUCCAUUGACAACCUAUUGUGUGGCUGGGGGAAUUUUAUUUGAUGAAAAUGGGUCUCAGCUUCCUCCACCGUUGAACUGAGUCAUAACUAUAUAGUUAACACUAUAAAGUUUAGUGAGACACUUACAGCCCCAGUACUCAGGAGCUAGAGGCUGGAGGAUCACAAGGUUGAGAUUAGCCUGGGUGACAUAGCCAGUUCAGGGCCGUUGUGUAGCUAUUCAGUGAGACCUUGUCUAAAAAGACAAGGGCUGGGGCCAGUGAGAUGGUUCAGCAGGAAAAGUUGCCACCUGCCGACUUGCCAACCUGAGUCUCCAGUUCACAGAACUCAAAUGGUGGAAGGAAAGGAGCAACAAGCUGUCUCUGGCCUCCAUAUGCACACCCACACAGGAAUGAAUAAACAAAUAAAUAAAUGUGUGGGGUUAGCCGUCUCCCUGGUGGCUAAAAACAUUUAGUCGGUAUCAACGCAUUUCAGUCUAGUGACUAACCCAUAGGAAAUGGUAUUAACCAACUACCAUGUCAACUAGUUAAAUAUUCCGUAGUCAUACUAAUUUAAAGAGUUACACGUGCACACAUUCCCUAAUCUGUAAUCCCAGGCACAGCAUGAAUCUUCUGUGGCAGGACAUCAAUUCCCAGAAAGUGCUGAGAUCCCAGAGGAUGCUGGGAAAAGACAUGUUUCCUUCUGCAGAUCUAUCUGGCACCUCAUAGUCCAGGGCCCUCGCCUUUUCCUGAGUAGUGGGUAGAGACCAAGAUGAGUCUGUAGAUGAAUGUGUGUACAAGUGAAUCAACUCGGGGUUUAUACCCAACCUCUGACAGGUGCAGGGGACCCAGGGUGCAGCCAGAUGUGGCUGGUGUCUGGCAGGCAAAGUUUGCAUCUAAACCUCUGAGGUUUCAUUGGGUCCUGGGAGCAGUGGAAGCCUUUGGGCGUGGUGGAGGGGAAGUGUGUGAUUCUGUGUUAUACUCUCCCUGAAAAGCACAAGUUUUACUUGUCCUCAUCAUUAUACUUUUUUGCAUGACAAAAGGCAUAGCAUUUGAUUCAAAGCAUACCCUUCAACGUCCUUAAGUAUGGAUGAUGGCGGAGAAUGUUUGUUGCAAUCUUAGACAUGACACAGCUACACUCUGUUAGUUGCUUUUCUGUUGCUGUGAUAAAGCACCCAGACCAAAGGCAAGCUAUGGAAGAAAGGUUUAUUCUGGCUUACGGUUACAGAGAGUCCGUAGUGGUGGGGGAAUGAAAGCACCAAGCGGCAGGCAUGGUGGGCAGAACAGGCAGCUGAGAGAGCACAUCUUCAAUUUCAAACAUGAAGCAAUGAGAGCAACAUGGAAGCUGAGCAAGGCUAUAAAGUCUCAAAGCUGGCCCCCAGUGACACACUUUGUCCAGCAAGGCUAAAACACCUCCCAAAACAGUGCCACCCACUGGACACCAGCUCUUCAAACAACCAAGCCUGUGGGCGACAGUACCUACUUAAAUCACUACAAUAAAUAAAAUUCAAAAUCCCUGCCCUAGCCUGCAAAUGAGAUCUCUGGCUUAGAGCAGGAUCGAAGAAGGUUCACUCUUUGAACACGUGCAUGCUAGUACCCAGUUUACUUAUAUACACGAGACCUCAUUGUUCAGCUCAGGGAGACAGCUAAGUGAGCCUUAUCCCAUAGGGUAGCUUCACCCAGAUAAGUCAUCGUGUGAAUUCAUUUCAGUGUAGAAAGGUGGGCAAGCCAGGGGUGAGGUGGAGACAGACAUAUAAACUGUUACUCUCAGCAGCCAAGUUUUCGGAAAUCCCGUGGGUAGAGAGGAACGCUUCUGUUGGCUACAUGUAGACAGUGAGCGGGGUCAGGCUUUAGGAACCGGUGGGUGAAGACCUGAAGGAAGAGAGAGAGGGAGCAUGCGUGAGGAGGAAUAGCCAGGACCAAGGCAAGAGCAUCCUUCAGGCAGUUGAGAAAACAGCCCGCAGGCUGCAGCUGUGGGAGGCAGGGCAAGGUGAAAGGGAGGGAGUUUGUGCACCUGGAAAGGAUUUGGGGUUAAACUUGGGCAAGAGACGGGCAGUCGUUGGGGUUGGAAGAGGGAGAUGUUAGUCAAGCAAAAACAGUCAUGUAACAAUCACUACUGAGGUUGGGGGAAGAAUGGAUGUAGGGUUUUUAUCACUAUUUACUGUGUGUUUGGUUGUUAAUAUGGAAGGUUUCAAAUACAUCAGAAGAACACUUCAGAGAACACAGGGAAAGGUUUCAGGAAGAAUCAACAGUGACUAGUUGUGUUUGAAAAUGUCAUAAUGAAACUUAAUACUGUGUAUAUGCUAAUUAAAUUUAUUAUUAUUAUUAUUAUUAUUAUUAUUAUUAUUAUUAUUAUUUUGGUUUUUCGAGACAGGGUUUCUCUGUAUAGUUUUGGUGCCUGUCCUGGAUUUCACUCUGCAGACCAGGCUGGCCUCGAACUCACAGAGAUCCGCCUGGCUCUGCCUUCCGAGUGCUGGGAUUAAAGGCGUGUGCCGCCACCGCCGCCGCUGCCGCCUGGCCAAUUAAAAAAUUUUAAAUAAGUAAAAUGUAAUGUACAAAGUGAGAGAAAGGGAUUUUAAAAAGGCCUAUUAGAAGGUUCCUUCAAAUUCAGGGGAGAAGCGGUGGCGGCGUGGGCUGGUGACAUCGGAGCUGUGGAGAAGUGGGUGCGUUGUGGGUCUAUUUUAGGAAGUGGAGAGAAUUGGUUGAUGGGUUCGUAUGUGGAGUGGGAGAAAAUCGAGAGUCAAGGAUGACUGAGCAUCUGCAGGAAAGGAGUUGCCAUCCACGGAGAUGGGAAAGAGGGAGGGACGCCGGAAGUUCGAAAGUUCAGCCGAGCUUCCCACGCUUGUUAAAGUGAGUGGAGAUGGCAAGGCAGCAGCUGGAUGUGAGAGCCUGAGGCUGAGACAGGGUCAGGGGUGGAGCCGACAGUGUCUAGAGAGUGGCUAAUGGUUUCCCAGCCUCAGGCCUGGUCUCAAGAUGGUGCCAUGAUUUGGGGCGAUGGUAGAAACGGAGCUUGUUAGAGGGAGUUCAUCCCUGGGGUCUGUGUUUUUGAAGGUUACACCCGUCCUGGGUCUCAGUCACUGUCGUCCUGCUCGCCCGUUACACUUCCUGUCUUCAGAAGACCCCCGUGACGUUGUUGUACCCCACUACAGGAACACAGAGGCAAGCGACCGUGCCCGGCACACUCUGAAUCCUGGGUCUUCUUGAGCAGCUUACGCCAGGGAUUCGGAACUAGUACAACAGCACUUGAAGCCACGAGUCUGGAUGCUGUCACCACCGCCAUUCUCUCAUAUGCUGUGGUCCUAUCGAAAAUAAAAAGGCCCUUUCUUAUAUUAAAUAGCCCACAGUCACACAUACACAGUACACACACACACACACACACACACACACACACACACUUCACAUCUCUGAAUGUAAAACAAGCAAACAACCAAACAAUGGAUGAUCUGAGCCAUCGCAAUAUCAGGACUCUGAAUGCAUACGUAGUAAUCAUUUCUGUGAGGGCCACACUAUGCCAGCUAAUAAAUUAUGUGCUUCUGGGUCACACUAAGUGGAGUGCAUUGGUUCUGGCAGUGUGAGAAGAAAUAAUUUUACAUCUUGAAGGGUCGACUGGAAGACAAAUGAAGUCACUUCCUUUGCCGGUGCCAGUAAUCUCGGCAGCUGAAUAUAAAUUGUUUGGUAUAUUACUAUAUUACUAUGCCGGUCACCCUUCUAAUACAUCGCCAGUGGAGAUGCCCAUUGUCCUUUAAACCAGAGACCACAUGUGAGCUCUGGAUUGUGCUUCCUCCUCUGGGACUUGACUGAACAUGCUCCGUGGUGUCUUGCUUGUCUUCACAGAUACUUGCAGUAUUUUCUAAACUGACUAAUCACUGUAAUGGACAGCGGUACCCUUAGUGGCUACCUUAAGAAACAGUGAGUCGGGGGGCCAGGGUGAUGGAUCUGUGGGUAAAAGCACUUGGGUCCCAUCUCCCAGAGCCCACAUAAAAACCCAGAUCCUGUGAUUCCCAUCGGCAAACCCAGCACUCCGGCUGGGGCAUGGCAGGAAGAGGCAGGAGAAUCUCCGGGAAGCUCACAGGCACACUAGCCUGGGCUAUGCAAUACAGCUGUAGAAAUGAGAGAGACCCUCGAGGUGGAAGAGACCAGCUCUGGAAAACUGGUCCUCUAACCUCCACACAGGCACGGUGCCGUGUUGUGCACACACGUGCACUGGCACACAUAGAGGCACAUUUACACACUCACAUGCACAUAAGGCACAUUCAUACAUGUGCACACACAGGCACAUUUACACACACUCAUGCACACACAGGCACAUUCACACACGUGCACACACAGGCACAUUUACACACUCAUGCACACACAGGCACAAUCACAUACUCAUGCACACUGACACUCAUAGGCACUCACAUACACACACACUCAACAACAACAAUAACAAAUAAGUGAAAAAAGCAUAGUAAAGAAACAGCAAGUCAGUGUGGCGCUCAGGGAAUCUGCAUUUUGGCGUCUCCAUUUUUUUAUUUCCUCCGGCAGUUGGCACCUACAGCCAAAAUCUGAGGUAACGUGGGAUUAGGAUAUGGUAAUACCAGGUUCCUCCUGGGGAGACUCUUCCAUCCUGACCCCAAUGCCAUUCUCGACUUGACCUUCCAUGAGACUAGCUUUUGGUUUUCAUUCAUUUUGAAUAAAGCUAUUUAAAUGUGCAGGUCUUCAAUGGGAUUUACAUUUAAACGUGAUCUUAAGGGGAAAAGACCAGAAAAAAGAAAGAGAGCCUUGCUGUCGUUUCUUGGGGAGUGUGCUAGGAGUAUUCUCUUGAAACCACAAUCAUUUUCAAUUUUGUGGAGAGUCAUCAUGAGGUUCAUAUAGUAAUUCUAAGGUUUUGAGACAGGCCCUUCUUUAAACAUUUAUGUAUGUAUAUGUGUGUGUGCACGCGUGUGUGUGUGUGCACAUGUGUGUGCGCACAUACCACAGACUACACUGGAGCUCAGAGAACAACUUGCAGGAGUCAGUUCUCUCCUUCCACCGUGUGUGUCCCAGGGAUCCAGCAUCAGGGCCAGCAGCAGGUACCUUUACCCACUGAAUCAUUUCCCCAAGUGACCGCCCCCCCCAAGAGCCUGGGCCAUGCUCUCCUUUCCCACUUAAGUAAGGAACUUGCUGAGUUCUGCUGGCCUUUGCCCUAAAUCUCUUCCCAGAGUGAAAACUCCAAAAAGAACAAACAGCAUAUCCUUCCGCCCUGCUAAAACUCUUCUAGUGUCUUAAAAUUUAUUUAUUUUUUUUUCUGGUACUUUCUUUUCCCAAACCUUCUGUGACUUGUCUGGGGCUCACCUCUUCAACUGCUGCUCUUUCUUGCUCUCUCUUCAUCCCCACCAGGCUCUAGACUCAGCCCUUUUGUGACAAGAUGUUGUCAUCCACAAAUGCACUGGGCCACAUUAUGCCUAUCCUGAGAUACAGAUGGCCCCUGAGUCUCAGGUUAGACACACCCAUCUCCUUUCUGUGUAAGCAUGAAGGCCCCUUCUUUCUCUACUCUUCCUGGUCCCAGGAAUGUCUUCUCCCAGUCUUCACUGCGCUGCUUUUCUCUUCAAUGGGUCCUCUAAGGAUGAUACACCCUCAUUUUCUACAGAGCAUUUGCCACUAGUCGGUAGCUUUCUGUUUGUUGAUUGAUGUCUGGUUAAUUUUCUGUCUCCUCUCAGUAGAAUGUAGCAUCCGUGGGGAAGGAGAUCUUCCUAUUGGCUGUGGUGGUUUGAAUGACAAUACAAUGUCCUUCAUCAGCUUGGGUAUUCACACGCUUGGUCCUCAGUUGUUGGCACUGUUUAGGGAGGAUGUGGAACCUUUGGGGGGGUGGGGGUGGAGCCUUGCUGCAGGAAGUAGGUCAUUGGGGUGGGCUUUGAGUGUUUCUAGUCCCUCCCCACUUCCAGUUCGCUGUCUCUGCUUCAUGCUUGUUCAGGACAUGAUGUUGCUCCCUGUUCUUGCCGCUGUGUCUGCUGCUUGCUGCUCCGCUCUCGUGGUGGACGCGUACCUCUCUGGAGCUGUAAGCCAAAAUAACCUCUUCCUUCUGCAAGUUGUUCCUGGUCAUGGUAUUUUCCUCACAGUAGCAGGAAAGUAACAGAUAAUCAUUUAUCAAUGGCCUGCACAUGUCUAGGACGUUGAUUGGACCAAGGAAAUGAUUAAUAAGUAUUGAAUAAAUCAGUAAAUGAACACAUGAGCCAAGCUCAAUAGAAUGUACUUGUAGUCACAGGAGCCUACAGAAGUAUCUCUUAGAGUUUAAGAGUUCAAGGCCAGUUUGGGCAAUAUAGCAAGACCCUGUCUCAAAACUUUUUGUUUUAUUUGGUGUUUGUUUGUUUCAAGACAGUGUUUCUAGGUGGGCGGUGGUGGUGCACACCUUUAAUCCCAGCACUUGGGAGGCAGAGCCAGGUGGAUCUCUGUGAGUUCCAGGCCAGCCUGGUCUCCAAAGCAAGUUCCAGGAAAGGCGCAAAGCUACACAGAGAAACCCUGUCUCGAAAAAAAAACAAACAAACAACCCCCCCCCAAAAAAAACCAACCAAAAAAAAGACAGUGUUUCUGUAUGUAGCCUUGGCUAUCCUGGAACUCCCUCUGUAGAUCAGGCUGGCCUUGAACUCAAAGAGAUCCACCUGCCUCUGCCUCCCAAGUGCUAGGAUUAAAGGUGAGUUUACCACCACUGCCCGACUUUCUGUCUCAAAACUUAAAAAAAAAAGAUAGACAUAUGGAUAGAUGGAUGGAUGAAUGGGUAGACAGACAGACAGAUAUAUAAAAAUAAGACAAAUUGGCAGGACUGAUUUGAACCAAAUUGAUAAAGGUGGUUGUCCAGGUAUAGGAAAAAGAACAGACAUAUCUUAUUUGUUUUUGUUUGUUUGUUUUUACCAUAAAAAGAGACAUGGGUAUAGGUAAUUUUAGGGAUUCUCUUUUGUGUUGUAUGAAUUUCCAUAUUUUGUAAUAUAAACAGGUUUCAUUUGAAACCAGAAAAGCCGAAUGCUGUCUCGAAGGUAACUACUAACCUCUUUCCCGUUGUUGGAGCAGGCUGGCUUCCCUCUUCUUUCCCCAGACACUGUUGCUUUUGUUUUCUACAAAGGACAUAGUCAUUUAUUUUGGUGUGAGCCCACAUAUUAGAAUAUUUUCUGAAUAGGUAUGUGUGUAGGUUUUCUUGAUCAUCACUAAGGGAAAAACAGAAGACUUAGAUGGUCUCCAUGGCAACGAAUGCAGAGCUAAGGCUGAUCCCUGAGGAUAACAACAGCAGCAGAUAUUCCAGCCAUGGAAGGUGUCUUGGCUUGCCUCCAGGCCACACAUUCAUUUGUCUGAGUGCCAGUCUCGGGGUCCAUCUUUAGCCCCAGGCUCUCUGCUCUCCAAACGCGAUGGGAGCCAGCGCUGGGGGAGCCUCCUGCCCUGGCAUGACUGCUUCAGCAAGCUGUUGCUCCCAACACUCACGGCUGCCAUCUGAAGUCCGCCCGUCCUUUGCUCUCAGAAUCUAAUCCUGGAAUGAAGUGCAGCUUGAGUCACAGUUACUAUAAUCUCUUGUCUGCAGAGGACGUCUUUUAAGAAUCCUAGUGAUGCUUGGAAGCUGGACAGUGCUGAACCCUACUGGGUUUUCUAUACAUGGGAGCCUGUGAUAAAGGCCUCCUUCCCCCUCCUCACCCCUUCUCUCUUUUCUUUUCUUUUUUUGAGACAGAGUCUCAUGCAGCUCAAAGUGGCCUCAGACUUACUAUGUAGCUGAAGAGGACCCUGAACUCUUCCUGUCUUGAACGUGCCACCCUGGCUGGGUCAUGGGGUGUUCAGGCAUCUGCUCAGAUGUAUUAUAGGAAUGCUUCUGUUAGAGUGUUAUAAGCAGCUUUAACAUUUGAAUCCGUGGACUGAGCCAAACAAAUUGCCUCUGUGGCUGGGCUUCCCCCACUGAACACAAAGGCUGAGAAAGGGAAUGUCCCUGCUCCCAAGCUUAUGCUGGGCCUGGGCUCCUGCUUUGAACAGAGGAACCCUGCUUCCUGUCAGGUACUUGGUCACAGCUAGAAGAGAAGCAACUCAGAAAAGAGGUGUUGAAACUUUGUCUUAGAACCUUAUGGUAUUCUCAAAAAUCACUCAGCAGUUUCUUUUUCCCUGCCUGAUCUGAUUAUUGAUAUGUAUUCUUCCAGAAACGGAAGCAGGAAAAUUGUAAAUUUAAAGUCUAUCCAUUAAAAUCCAUAAACCCAUCCAACAUAUCUGUUUAUGGAAAAUAAGUUUUUGAAAGGAAAUGAAAUUUAAUGAGAAGAGUGGUACAUUUUCCACUAAGGAUAUUGAAGUCAUGCAUGUUCUCUGGCAUCCAGUCUCUAGUGAGAUUUUUUUUUGUUUGUUUGUUUGUUUUUCAAGACAGGGUUUCUCUGUGUAGAUUUGGUGCCUGUCCUAGAUCUCACUCUGUAGACCAGGCUGGCCUCCAACUCACAGAGAUCCGCCUGGCUCUGUCUCCUGAGUGCUGGGAUUAAAGGUGUGCGCCACUACCGCCCAGCUCUCUGGUGAGAUUUUGCUCUUGUUGAAGGAGAGGAAACAGAUUUGGUCUUUCAUGAACGUGAAGUUGGGGAGGAAAGGGUAUUUGAAGGACUUAUUCUUUGAUAUUAUAACAACACAGGCCAGCUCUCGUUGUACUAACCCCAAAACCAACUGCUCACACUGCUGUUAAAAAUUGUUGCCCCAAGGGGCUUGAGAGAUGGCUCAGCACCUAAGAGCACUUGCUGCUCUUCCAGAGGACCAGAGUUCAGUUCCCAGCACCCACACCAAGGAGCACACAACCUUCUUGUAAUUCCAGCUCCUGUGGAUCAGAGGCCUCUGGUCUCCCCCCAGCACUGCACUCACAUGCAUAUACUCAACAAGCAAAUACACACAGUUACACAAGAUGAAAAAUAAUAAAAAUAAGUUUAAAAAAAAUUGUUGACCUGGGCCAGUGUGAUGGCUCAGUGAGUUAAAAGUACUUGCUCCACAAGCCUACUUGAGUUGGAUUCCCAGAAUACAUCCAUGUAAAAGAGCUGCAUACAAUAGUUUACAGCUAUAAUCCUCGACUUCUACAGAGAGAUGAGAGACGGGAGAAUUAAGCUCAUGGGUCAGCUAGGCUGGAGUACAAAGAGCAUCAGGAGUGAAUAGAGAGCCCCUACCUCAAGAGAGUGGAAAGCAAGUCAACUCCCAAGAGUGGUCCUCUGACCUUCACAGGCAUGCUAUAGUGUGAGCAUGCACACAUGCAUACACAUGCACGUGCGUGCACACACAUACACACACACACACACACACACACACACACACACACACACACACACAGAUCAUUUAAAUAUAACUGAGCAGUACUCCAUCCUGGAUGCAACAUUUUUCCAACAUAUGGUUGUAUAACACUGAGCAUUGAUAACUUAGAACACGGCACUUUCCUGGUUAACACAGCUUUUCCAAAUGUUGGUGCUAUCAUGGGAUAGUUCUGAACAUACCACUUUUGUUAAUAUAGGGAACCACUGAUCUUUUUGAAAGAGUCCUUAAACUCACAGAAAAAUUUAAGUGCACAGUAGAUCUGUUUUCAAUAUUCAUUUGGGGACGGGUGGGCACAAAGUCUCAUGUUCAUGUAAUCCGGGCUAUCUUCAUAUUCACCAAGUAGCCAAGGAUGCUCUUGAACUUCCAAUCCUCCAGCCUCCAUUCAUUAUUUGAUUUGGAUGUGAAAGUUCAACUUUUAGAUAGCAAAUAUCCCAGUUGUUUUACAUGAAGUGCCAGACUUAAGGCAAAUGCUGGGGCUGAAGAGAUGGCUCAGCAGUUAAGAGCACUUGCUGUACAAGGUAAGGAUCUGAGUUCAAAUCCCUAGCACUGACCAUAAAAAUUAGGGCUGUUCCCGAGAGGGUGCUGAAGAACUUUCUCAGGUCAAAAACUAUAGGCCACAUUUGUCUUUGUGUCUCAGAAAGUUGUUGAGUUUGGGCGAGAUAGUAGAAGCUUCCCAAAUGUGACUAAGGGAAGAAAAUGAAUGAUCGGAUGAUUGAAUGAAGCUCUGACCAACUGCUUUUCCUCUCUGCAGGCAUCUUCAGUUGUGUGUGACAGUCUCUUGAGACAUUCCUCAGUAGCUGCAGGAGGCUGGGCUUUGGACCACCUUUGGCCACCUCUCUGUGUCUUUAAGAUCCAGUCACAUGAAAGACAGCUGACAUACUAACCCCCUCAUCUGCCGUCUUCAGUCAGGGGCACUGAAGGUUUACUAACUAUGAUGUGUCCUCAUGAAAGACCCAUCAGGAAAUCAAAGAGCCUUAUGGUGAGACAGGCCUGCUGAGGCAGGGGGCUAAAAGUCACGUUUGAACAUCUGCAGCUUGUCAUCACCAGCCUGCGCCUGCCUCGAGAGCUGGCGCCAUUUCUAGUGACUUCUUGUAGGUCGCACCCGAUUCAAAACCCCUCGUGAAGGUUGGUGGUGACAGAGAAGCAAGCUUUGGGAGACUUCCAGAUGUGACUCAUUCACAGUCACUGUGUGCAGAAAGAUGAGAGAAUUUUGAAGACCCUUUAUCAUUCAUUUUUGUCAGGGCGAUUUCUUUUGUUACUAAGAAGAAACAGAGUGACAGAUAGAAGGGCUGUAGGGGUGACUCAGUCAGUACAGUGCUCGCUGGGUCUGAAUUUGAUCCCUAGGACUCACCUGUUAAAAAAAAAAUACCUAGGCAGCAUGGGUCUGUAAUGCCCGCCGUGAGAAAGCAGAAACAAGUGCAUAAGUGGAUCCCUUGGGCUUGCUUGGUUGGUCAGUCUAGCCAACGGAUGAGCUCCAGGUUCAGUGAGAGAUCCUGACUAACAGAUAAAUAAAUCAAAUAAUAUGGAUAGUGAAGGAAAACAUUGAUGUCGACCACUGGCCUCCACAUAUGCGCACAUGCAUGCACACACAUGUGAACAUGUAUACACAUACACAUGUUAGAGAGAGAGUCUAAAUGAUUUCUGUAGCCCUUGACCUUCCAAGAGUAACUCCAUGCCCAUCAGGACCCAGUUCUUUUUCUCUUAGGACACACUGCUUGCGUUCAGUAAAUUCCAACUCAUAGAAACAAACAGCGUGUAAUACCCUACACAUCUCCAGAGUACCUCCCCCCCACCCCCCGCUCCCUCUCUCUCCACUUAUAUGACUAUUAAUCCAUCUCUUCUGGGUUGUGUGUCUCUGGAUACAGGAACUUCUACCUUGAGUUAACCAAGAAACACUGAUAGCUUCAACAUAGAGACAAUGAGAUGGACUAUAGAUAGAAUUUGAAGAUCAAGUCCAGGAAGGCUUGCUUAGGAAUUGGACAUAAGGGAAGAGGCAACCCCUGUGAAAGGAGACAUUCAAUUCUAAGGGGGUGGUGACUCACAAGUUGAGAACCACUGCUGUACAAAGAUAUGGAAGAAAGAAGUUUUUGCUCUUUACCUGCUUAUUCUCACCUUGCUAGCAAGUCAAUUCCUUCACUGACAUUACAGCCUACUUCUUUGGGAUUCCAGUGUGUACUGAAGACCAACAGAGACAUCCAGCUUCAUGGACCAAACAACUACCCGAUUCUUGGACUGUCCAUUCAUAGGCAGCCAUUGUUGGAUUAGCUGGACCACAGCCUGUAGGUCAUUCUAAUAAAUCCCCUUUAUAUAUAUACAGAGAGAUUCAUUCUAUAAGUUCUGUUUCUCUAGAGAAUCUUGACUAAUACAAUGUGUUUUCAUCUCAAUCUCUUGUUGACCAGGAUCUCCCUAUAGCUAAGCCUCUUACUCUGCUUUCCCGUGUGAAUGUUCACGUAUGUGGGGAUGCAUGCAAAUAUGAGUGUUAUGUGUGCACACAUAUGCGCACAUGUGUGUAGCCUAGAGAUUAACCUCUGGUGUCAUUCUGCUAGAGUUGUCCAUCUUGUGUUUUUGAUAUAGGGUCUCUUAAUGAUCUGGAAAUCACCAAACAGACUUGGUUUACUGGCCAGUGAGCCUGCAUGGGUGCAUCCCACACUUAGCUUUACAUGGCCUCUAGGGGCCAAACUCAGUUCCUUGUACUUGCAAGGAAGCAUUUUAGCAUCUAAACUGUGUCUCUGGCAUCUCUUACUCUGCUUUUAAUGACAGUGUGGCAAAGUCCUGGCCUGACAGAACAAAACAAAACAAAAACUACGAAGUUCUUGACAUGAGUGCUACAUGUCCCUAAGGUUUGAGAGCCAACUGCAAACACAGAUGAGCUAUUUAAUAUGCCUGGGUAUUUCUCCAUCAUGACACUACCGUUGUCAUCAUUAUGAUAGAAGACAGGCUUGUUUCUCUCUUUGUGCCCUUUCACCUUUCCCAGGGAUCCCACCACCUGCCAUAUCCUGGACUUUCUAGCUCUUUUGCUUUUUAAAAAGACAGUCGGAAGACCAUCCACCUGCUGUUUGCCUGCAAUUCAGGAAAUGAACAUCAUACCAUAUGGGCUCUUUAGCACCCACCCACGUGGCCCUAGACACAAGCAGUGGAUCCUCUGGCAGCUGGGACAGGUGCCACUAGGGUGGCUGCUUUGCUUGGAAAUGACACAGCUUUUUUUUUUUAUAAAUCUCCAUUACAUUUUUAUUGCACAUAUACAGAAUUAAUUUUGGUCUUCUCACUAACUGCAGACAGAUUCAGAAUUUCUCUGACUGUCCAUCUCACACAGCCCAACAAUAACCAAAAAAAAUGAUAUCAGUGACAUGUUGUAGAAUAUUAGUUAAAGAUGUGCUAUAUUUGUUUAUGCUGUGGAACGUUUGUUUAAUGAUGGAAAGAUGUAUUGCAUUCUUUUAUAUUGCAUUUGUUUAAACCCGUGAAGUUGUGUUACUGAGCCUGUCUAAAACACCUGAUUGGUCUAAUAAAGAGCUGAACAGCCAAUGGAUAGGCAGGACUGGCAGGCAGAGAGAAAAAAUAGGAGGAGAAAUCUAGGAAGAAAGAGAUCUAGGAUUGAGAGAAGGAGGAGGACUCCAGGGACCAGCCACCCAGCUACACAGCAACCACAGAGUAAGAAGUAAAGAAAGGUCUGUAGAAUAAAGGUAAAAGCCCAGAGACAAAAGGUAGGUGGGAUAAUUUAAGUUAAGAAAAGCUGACUAGAAAUAAGCCAAGCUAAGGCCAGGCAUUCAUAAAUAAGAGUAAGACUCUGUGUGAUUAUUUGGGGGCUGGGUGGUGGGCCCCCCAAAGAGCAAAGAACCAAAAGAGUUAAAAAAAAAAAAAAGCAGCCAACUCCAGUGACAGCUUUGCAAUUAAAUUCCAACCAACCGUACUAACUUAAUAGAGUGAAUAAAGGUAAGAUGUGAUUCAAGGUAAGAUGUGGGGCUGCCACUCAACCCCCCCCCCAUGACAUAUUUCUUCCAGCAAGACCUCACCUCCAAAACCUCCACAAACAGCACCACCAAGUGGUGACCAAGUGCUCAAAUAUCUGAGCCCAUGGGGGACAUUCUCAUUUACACUCUCACAGACAUCUACCAGAUAUGUACUACUGAUGCUCAGGUAUUGUACUUUGUUAUUCAUUUCUUUAAAUUAAAAACAAAGGCAUGAAAGUAGAAAGACUAGGAAGAGGAAGGAGAUUAUCAGGAGUUGGGGUGGGGUCAAAAGUGAGUACUGGGUUCGGAUGAAUCAAAAUAUAUUAUGUACGUGUAUGAAAAUGUCAAAAACCCAGACUUAUAUUUCAUUAAUAUACAAUAAUCAAAACGC